AGUGAACGCUGGCGGUAGGCCUAACACAUGCAAGUCGAACGGCAGCACAGUAAGAGCUUGCUCUUACGGGUGGCGAGUGGCGGACGGGUGAGGAAUACAUCGGAAUCUACUUUUUCGUGGGGGAUAACGUAGGGAAAGUUAAGCUAAUACCGCAUACGACCCACGGGUGAAAGCAGGGGAUCUUCGGACCUUGCGCGAAUGAAUGAGCCGAUGUCGGGUUAGCUAGUUGGCGGGGUAAAGGCCCACCAAGGCGACGAUCCGCAGCUGGUCUGAGAGGAUGAUCAGCCACACUGGAACUGAGACACGGUCCAGACUCCUACGGGAGGCAGCAGUGGGGAAUAUUGGACAAUGGGCGCAAGCCUGAUCCAGCCAUACCGCGUGGGUGAAGAAGGCCUUCGGGUUGUAAAGCCCUUUUGUUGGGAAAGAAAAGCAGCAGGUUAAUACCCCGCUGUUCUGACGGUACCCAAAGAAUAAGCACCGGCUAACUUCGUG
This 492-nucleotide ribosomal RNA is filed under the name uncultured bacterium. RNAcentral's name for it is "partial 16S ribosomal RNA". It matches the Rfam family "Bacterial small subunit ribosomal RNA", at positions 29 to 507 of the family's 1533-position model. The record is from RNAcentral.